RNAcentral lists this ribosomal RNA (305 nucleotides) under uncultured bacterium. RNAcentral describes it as "bacterial SSU rRNA". It matches the Rfam family "Bacterial small subunit ribosomal RNA", at positions 338 to 642 of the family's 1533-position model. The record is from RNAcentral.
CCUACGGGAGGCAGCAGUGAGGAAUAUUGGUCAAUGGGCGGGAGCCUGAACCAGCCAUGCCGCGUGAAGGCGAGUGCCCUACGGGCGUUAAACUUCUUUUGUGCGGGAGCAAUAAGGGCCACGUGUGGCCCGAUGAGAGUACCGCACGAAUAAGCAUCGGCUAACUCCGUGCCAGCAGCCGCGGUAAUACGGGGGAUGCGAGCGUUAUCCGGAUUUAUUGGGUUUAAAGGGUGCGUAGGCGGACAGUCAAGUCAGCGGUAAAAAUGCGGUGCUCAACGCCGUACGGCCGUUGAAACUGGCAGUCU